AUUUUGUGCGCCCUUUCAAGUGGGGUGAGGGGUUUACAAAAAGCGGACAAAAGCGUGCGAGGGGGUAGGGGGUAUCGAAAAAUCCUAAUUUACCGCGAGCGUAAUUUCUGAAUGACCCCUAAAUUAAUUUAAAAAAAAACUUA
This is a long non-coding RNA of Bradysia coprophila, 143 nucleotides long. The record is from RefSeq and is a predicted model, not a curated record. NCBI's taxonomy places the organism in Eukaryota, Metazoa, Arthropoda, Insecta, Diptera, Sciaridae.